GGCUAGGGCAAUGCUACCCUGAACACACCCAAUCCCGUCUGAUCUCAGAAGCUAAGCAGGGUCCGGCCUUGGAUGGGAGACCACCUAGGAAGACCAGGUGCUAUAGGCA
This 109-nucleotide ribosomal RNA is filed under the name Pteropus alecto (black flying fox). Lineage: Eukaryota; Metazoa; Chordata; Mammalia; Chiroptera; Pteropodidae. The record is from RNAcentral.